This 320-nucleotide ribosomal RNA is filed under the name uncultured Prevotella sp. RNAcentral describes it as "partial 16S ribosomal RNA". The record is from RNAcentral. Lineage: Bacteria; Pseudomonadati; Bacteroidota; Bacteroidia; Bacteroidales; Prevotellaceae.
GGAGUUUGGUCCGUGUCUCAGUACCAAUGUGGGGGACCUUCCUCUCAGAACCCCUACUGAUCGUCGCCUUGGUGGGCCGUUACCCCGCCAACAAGCUAAUCAGACGCAUCCCCAUCAUAUACCGUGAACUUUAGUCCUAAUUAGAUGCCUGCAAAGGACACUAUCGGGGGUUAAUUCGGUUUUCACCGGGCUAUACCCGAGUAUAUGGCAGGUUGGAUACGCGUUACUCACCCGUGCGCCGGUCGCCGUCAUACUGGUGCAAGCACCUGUACACGCUGCCCCUCGACUUGCAUGUGUUAAGCCUGUAGCUAGCGUUCAUC